UACGAAGGGUGCAAGCGUUGUUCGGAUUUAUUGGGCGUAAAGCGCGCGCAGGCGGAUCCCUAAGUCAGGUGUGAAAUCUCUGGGCUCAACCCAGAAAGUGCGCCUGAAACUAUGGAUCUAGAAUACCGGAGAGGGAAGGGGAAUUUCUCAUGUAGGGGUAAAAUCCGUAGAUAUGAGAAGGAACACCGGAGGCGAAGGCGCCUUCCUGGAAGGUCAUUGACGCUGAGGCGCGAAAGCGUGGGGAGCAAACAGG
Molecule: ribosomal RNA, 253 nt
Filed under: uncultured bacterium
Lineage: Bacteria
Description: partial 16S ribosomal RNA
Rfam family: Bacterial small subunit ribosomal RNA
Source: RNAcentral